Molecule: ribosomal RNA, 305 nt
Filed under: uncultured bacterium
Lineage: Bacteria
Description: bacterial SSU rRNA
Rfam family: Bacterial small subunit ribosomal RNA
Source: RNAcentral
CGUUCCUACGGGAGGCAGCAGUGGGGGAUAUUGCACAAUGGGGGGAACCCUGAUGCAGCGACGCCGCGUGGGCGAUGGAGUACUUCGGUAUGUAAAGCCCUAUCAGCAGGGAAGAAAAUGACGGUACCUGACUAAGAAGCCCCGGCUAAAUACGUGCCAGCAGCCGCGGUAAUACGUAUGGGGCAAGCGUUAUCCGGAUUUAUUGGGUUUAAAGGGUGCGUAGGCGGUCCGUUAAGUCAGCGGUAAAAUUGCGGGGCUCAACCCCGUCGAGCCGUUGAAACUGGCAGACUUGAGUUGGCGAGAAG